Molecule: long non-coding RNA, 664 nt
Organism: Dunckerocampus dactyliophorus (ringed pipefish)
Lineage: Eukaryota; Metazoa; Chordata; Actinopteri; Syngnathiformes; Syngnathidae
Exons: 3
Source: RefSeq, a predicted model, not a curated record
UUCUAAUCACCAAAAUGCGACCAGAACUGGACUCACGGGACCAAGUUGGGGGCAAGUCACUGUUGAUGGACUACACUGCUGAUGGGGACGUCAAAAAAAAAAUCCGAACUACUGUAUACUCCAACAUCGACUGCCGGCUGAAGCGUCAUUCACCACUUCUGCAUCACCAGCUUACAAAAAAAAGGAGCCAAACUUACCACCCGCCACUGGCGUGCACAGUACAGAGGUGCUGAAAUCCAGGUAGCCCCUGAAGCGCUAGCUCCUAUUCCUGGUGGGCUGGAGCCUAUUCCGGCUGACUUCGGACGGUGGAAGGAAGCGGAGUACAUGAAUGGGGAGAACAUCCAAAUUCCACACAGAUACUUUCCGAUGAAGAAUCAAAUCCGGAAUUCCAGACUGUCAUGGUGAUGUGCUGACCACGGUCACUGUAAUGCCCCUGAAUUUCAACAUUCAAUGCAGAUCAAAUUCUAAUAUUUGAAAGUACCUUGUCGUCUCUUAUUUUCACUGAAUACUACGCUGGAUAGUGCCCCAUAGUUGAUCGAGGACAUUUUUACAAAUGCCCAUGCCAAGAAAGUACACUCUUCUCAAGCAUUUAGGCCGCGCUAGGGAUGAGCCGGAUAUUCGUUAUAAAUGAGUAUCAGUUACAGAUAAUGCAUUUUUGCAGAAU